RNAcentral lists this unclassified non-coding RNA (211 nucleotides) under plant metagenome. RNAcentral's name for it is "partial contains small subunit ribosomal RNA, internal transcribed spacer 1, and 5.8S ribosomal RNA". The record is from RNAcentral.
UUUCCGUAGGUGAACCUGCGGAAGGAUCAUUAAAAAUGAAGCCGGGAAACCGGUCCUUCUAACCCUUGAUUAUCUUAAUUUGUUGCUUUGGUGGGCCGCGCAAGCACCGGCUUCGGCUGGAUCGUGCCCGCCAGAGGACACAACUCUGUAUCAAAUGUCGUCUGAGUACUAUAAAAUAGUUAAAACUUUCAACAACGGAUCUCUUGGUUCU